UUACUUCGGUACAUCGGUGACAGGUGGUGCAUGGUUGUCGUCAGCUCGUGUCGUGAGAUGUUGGGUUAAGUCCCGCAACGAGCGCAACCCCUAUUGUUAGUUGCCAUCAUUCGGUUGGGCACUCUAGCGAGACUGCCGGUAAUAAACCGGAGGAAGGUGGGGAUGACGUCAAAUCAUCAUGCCCCUUAUGACCUGGGCUACACACGUGCUACAAUGGUUGGUACAACGAGUUGCGAGUCGGUGACGGCGAGCUAAUCUCUUAAAGCCAAUCUCAGUUCGGAUUGUAGGCUGCAACUCGCCUACAUGAAGUCGGAAUCGCUAGUAAUCGCGGAUCAGCACGCCGCGGUGAAUACGUUCCCGGGCCUU
This 366-nucleotide ribosomal RNA is filed under the name uncultured Streptococcus sp. Its description in RNAcentral is "bacterial SSU rRNA". It matches the Rfam family "Bacterial small subunit ribosomal RNA", at positions 1014 to 1382 of the family's 1533-position model. The record is from RNAcentral. Lineage: Bacteria; Bacillati; Bacillota; Bacilli; Lactobacillales; Streptococcaceae.